This 356-nucleotide ribosomal RNA is filed under the name uncultured bacterium. Its description in RNAcentral is "bacterial SSU rRNA". It matches the Rfam family "Bacterial small subunit ribosomal RNA", at positions 28 to 415 of the family's 1533-position model. The record is from RNAcentral.
GAUGAACGCUGGCGGCGUGCUUAACACAUGCAAGUCGAACGAACCUUCGGGUUAGUGGCGGACGGGUGAGUAACGCGUGAGAAUCUGCCCUCAGGAGGGGGAUAACGGCUGGAAACGGCCGCUAAUACCCCAUAUGCCGAGAGGUGAAAUGAAUUUCGCCUGAGGAUGAGCUCGCGUCUGAUUAGCUAGUUGGUGUGGUAAAGGCUCACCAAGGCAUCGAUCAGUAGCUGGUCUGAGAGGAUGAUCAGCCACACUGGGACUGAGACACGGCCCAGACUCCUACGGGAGGCAGCAGUGGGGAAUUUUCCGCAAUGGGCGCAAGCCUGACGGAGCAACGCCGCGUGAGGGAGGAAGGC